This 1393-nucleotide ribosomal RNA is filed under the name Psychrobacter sp. BG-4-R2. RNAcentral's name for it is "bacterial SSU rRNA". It matches the Rfam family "Bacterial small subunit ribosomal RNA". Lineage: Bacteria; Pseudomonadati; Pseudomonadota; Gammaproteobacteria; Moraxellales; Moraxellaceae. The record is from RNAcentral.
GUCGAGCGGAACGAUGAUAGCUUGCUAUCAGGCGUCGAGCGGCGGACGGGUGAGUAAUACUUAGGAAUCUACCUAGUAGUGGGGGAUAGCACGGGGAAACUCGUAUUAAUACCGCAUACGACCUACGGGAGAAAGGGGGCAGUUUACUGCUCUCGCUAUUAGAUGAGCCUAAGUCGGAUUAGCUAGAUGGUGGGGUAAAGGCCUACCAUGGCGACGAUCUGUAGCUGGUCUGAGAGGAUGAUCAGCCACACCGGGACUGAGACACGGCCCGGACUCCUACGGGAGGCAGCAGUGGGGAAUAUUGGACAAUGGGGGAAACCCUGAUCCAGCCAUGCCGCGUGUGUGAAGAAGGCCUUUUGGUUGUAAAGCACUUUAAGCAGUGAAGAAGACUCCGUGGUUAAUACCCACGGACGAUGACAUUAGCUGCAGAAUAAGCACCGGCUAACUCUGUGCCAGCAGCCGCGGUAAUACAGAGGGUGCAAGCGUUAAUCGGAAUUACUGGGCGUAAAGGGAGCGUAGGUGGCUCGAUAAGUCAGAUGUGAAAUCCCCGGGCUCAACCUGGGAACUGCAUCUGAUACUGUUGAGCUAGAGUAUGUGAGAGGAAGGUAGAAUUCCAGGUGUAGCGGUGAAAUGCGUAGAGAUCUGGAGGAAUACCGAUGGCGAAGGCAGCCUUCUGGCAUAAUACUGACACUGAGGCUCGAAAGCGUGGGUAGCAAACAGGAUUAGAUACCCUGGUAGUCCACGCCGUAAACGAUGUCUACUAGUCGUUGGGUCCCUUGAGGACUUAGUGACGCAGCUAACGCAAUAAGUAGACCGCCUGGGGAGUACGGCCGCAAGGUUAAAACUCAAAUGAAUUGACGGGGGCCCGCACAAGCGGUGGAGCAUGUGGUUUAAUUCGAUGCAACGCGAAGAACCUUACCUGGUCUUGACAUAUCUAGAAUCCUGCAGAGAUGCGGGAGUGCCUUCGGGAAUUAGAAUACAGGUGCUGCAUGGCUGUCGUCAGCUCGUGUCGUGAGAUGUUGGGUUAAGUCCCGCAACGAGCGCAACCCUUGUCCUUAGUUACCAGCGGGUUAAGCCGGGAACUCUAAGGAUACUGCCAGUGACAAACUGGAGGAAGGCGGGGACGACGUCAAGUCAUCAUGGCCCUUACGACCAGGGCUACACACGUGCUACAAUGGUAGGUACAGAGGGCAGCUACACAGCGAUGUGAUGCGAAUCUCAAAAAGCCUAUCGUAGUCCAGAUUGGAGUCUGCAACUCGACUCCAUGAAGUAGGAAUCGCUAGUAAUCGCGGAUCAGAAUGCCGCGGUGAAUACGUUCCCGGGCCUUGUACACACCGCCCGUCACACCAUGGGAGUUGAUUGCACCAGAAGUGGAUAGCUUAACCUUCGGGGG